GGAGAUGGAUUCUGAGACACGAAUCCAGGCCCUACGGGGUGCAGCAGGCGCGAAAACUUUACAAUGCUGGGAACAGCGAUAAGGGAACCUCGAGUGCCAGGUUACAAAUCUGGCUGUCGUGAUGCCUAAAAAGCAUUGCAUAGCAAGGGCCGGGCAAGACCGGUGCCAGCCGCCGCGGUAACACCGGCGGCUCGAGUGGUAACCGUUAU
RNAcentral lists this ribosomal RNA (209 nucleotides) under Methanosaetaceae archaeon enrichment culture clone 11. RNAcentral's name for it is "partial 16S ribosomal RNA". It matches the Rfam family "Archaeal small subunit ribosomal RNA", at positions 292 to 501 of the family's 1478-position model. Lineage: Archaea; Methanobacteriati; Methanobacteriota; Methanomicrobia; Methanotrichales; Methanotrichaceae. The record is from RNAcentral.